GAAAAUACCAAUAAAAUAGCAUCCCAAAUUAUAGCAGAGUGAACUUCUCGAAAUUAUAUUGUAUGUCCAAUCAGUUGGAUCAACACAUUAAAUUUUAAUUUUAAGGGUGAACUAAAAACCAGAAGGGGUCUCUUUUUCGAGGUGGUAUAUGGGUAUUUUCCGUCAUCGGGAAUAACAUUUAAAGAAGCGCCAGGAGUCUUUCUAUGUGCAGCAGUGCCCAGAACAUUGCGGGUACAGUAAAAGAGUACCAAAGAUCAUGAGGAUGGUGGAGGAAGCUUCUGGAUAAGACCUUUGUGUGCCAGCAGUGUGAAUUUUGCGCCGUGACGGCAAGGAGUACGUCUGAACAUCGGAAAUGCCCGCCACAGUGACUAUAAAACACUCGUCUUCUGCCUAUACAUAUGUACAAAUUUAUGG
This 414-nucleotide long non-coding RNA is filed under the name Drosophila guanche. The record is from RNAcentral. Lineage: Eukaryota; Metazoa; Arthropoda; Insecta; Diptera; Drosophilidae.